GCAGUCGNNCGGCAGCGGGUAGGAAGCUUGCUUCCUAUGCCGGCGAGUGGCGGACGGGUGAGGAACACAUCGGAAUCUACUCCGUCGUGGGGGAUAACGUAGGGAAACUUACGCUAAUACCGCAUACGACCUAAGGGUGAAAGUGGGGGACCGCAAGGCCUCACGCGAUGGAAUGAGCCGAUGUCCGAUUAGCUAGUUGGCGGGGUAAAGGCCCACCAAGGCGACGAUCGGUAGCUGGUCUGAGAGGAUGAUCAGCCACACUGGGACUGAGACACGGCCCAGACUCCUACGGGAGGCAGCAGUGGGGAAUAUUGGACAAUGGGCGAAAGCCUGAUCCAGCCAUGCCGCGUGGGUGAAGAAGGCCUUCGGGUUGUAAAGCCCUUUUGUUGGGGAAGAAAUCCUGCUGGCUAAUACCCGGCGGGGAUGACGGUACCCAAAGAAUAAGCACCGGCUAACUUCGUGCCAGCAGCCGCGGUAAUACGAAGGGUGCAAGCGUUACUCGGAAUUACUGGGCGUAAAGCGUGCGUAGGUGGUGGCUUAAGUCCGUUGUGAAAGCCCUGGGCUCAACCUGGGAAUUGCAGUGGAUACUGGGUCACUAGAGUGUGGUAGAGGGUGGCGGNNUUCCCGGUGUAGCAGUGAAAUGCGUAGAGAUCGGGAGGAACACACGUGGCGNNNNCGGCCACCUGGGCCAACACUGACACUGNNNCACGAAAGCGUGNGGAGCAAACANNANNAGAUGCCCUGGUAGUCCACGCCCU
RNAcentral lists this ribosomal RNA (758 nucleotides) under uncultured bacterium. RNAcentral's name for it is "partial 16S ribosomal RNA". It matches the Rfam family "Bacterial small subunit ribosomal RNA", at positions 57 to 803 of the family's 1533-position model. The record is from RNAcentral.